This is a non-coding RNA of Podarcis lilfordi (Lilford's wall lizard), 134 nucleotides long. Lineage: Eukaryota; Metazoa; Chordata; Lepidosauria; Squamata; Lacertidae. The record is from the annotation of a GenBank genome assembly.
AACUAAGUUUGUCAUUGGUAUGAGCUUUCAUGUGCAUGCACACUUCUUCAGAUACCAUCUUCACACUUCUUCAGAUACCAUCUGGAGAAGUGUGCAUGCACACGAAAGCUCAUACCAAUGACAAACUUAGUUGG